This 475-nucleotide ribosomal RNA is filed under the name Streptococcus sp. oral taxon C08. RNAcentral's name for it is "bacterial SSU rRNA". It matches the Rfam family "Bacterial small subunit ribosomal RNA", at positions 28 to 483 of the family's 1533-position model. The record is from RNAcentral. Lineage: Bacteria; Bacillati; Bacillota; Bacilli; Lactobacillales; Streptococcaceae.
GACGAACGCUGGCGGCGUGCCUAAUACAUGCAAGUAGAACGCUGAAGCUUGGUGCUUGCACCGAGCGGAUGAGUUGCGAACGGGUGAGUAACGCGUAGGUAACCUGCCUGGUAGCGGGGGAUAACUAUUGGAAACGAUAGCUAAUACCGCAUAAGAGUAGAUGUUGCAUGACAUUUGCUUAAAAGGUGCAAUUGCAUCACUACCAGAUGGACCUGCGUUGUAUUAGCUAGUUGGUGAGGUAAUGGCUCACCAAGGCGACGAUACAUAGCCGACCUGAGAGGGUGAUCGGCCACACUGGGACUGAGACACGGCCCAGACUCCUACGGGAGGCAGCAGUAGGGAAUCUUCGGCAAUGGACGGAAGUCUGACCGAGCAACGCCGCGUGAGUGAAGAAGGUUUUCGGAUCGUAAAGCUCUGUUGUAAGAGAAGAACGAGUGUGAGAGUGGAAAGUUUCACCACUGUGACGGUUUCUACC